RNAcentral lists this ribosomal RNA (430 nucleotides) under uncultured bacterium. RNAcentral's name for it is "bacterial SSU rRNA". It matches the Rfam family "Bacterial small subunit ribosomal RNA", at positions 355 to 776 of the family's 1533-position model. The record is from RNAcentral.
UGAGGAAUUUUGCGCAAUGGGGGAAACCCUGACGCAGCAAUGCCGCGUGAGUGAAGAAGGCUUUCGGGUCGUAAAGCUCUGUCGGAUGGGAAGAAACUGUUAACCAAUAAUAUUGGUUGACAUUGACGGUACCAUCAAAGGAAGCACCGGCUAACUCCGUGCCAGCAGCCGCGGUAAUACGGGGGGUGCGAGCGUUAAUCGGAAUUACUGGGCGUAAAGAGUGCGUAGGCGGUUCGUUAAGUCAGAUGUGAAAGCCCUGGGCUCAACCUGGGAACUGCAUUUGAAACUGGCGAACUAGAGUUGGGUAGAGGGGAGUGGAAUUUCAGGUGUAGCGGUGAAAUGCGUAGAUAUCUGAAGGAACACCAGUGGCGAAGGCGACUCCCUGGACUCAAACUGACGCUGAGGUACGAAAGCGUGGGUAGCAAACAGG